UUUUUAGAUGUUGAUUAUUUUACUAUUUCUUUAUUGUUUACCAUAGUUUACAUUAUACUUCAAAUUAUUAAAUUGUCAUGUAAAUCAGGACUGUUAGCACUUUGCAGACACUUUAUUUCUCUAAUAUCUUUUUACAUAUUGUUAUUGUUGUCAUUUAAAUCUACUUAUAUUUAAACACCAUGCAACAUCAUCGUUAUCGUCACAACAGUUAAUAUCCAAUUAUAUUUAUCCAAGUAUUUUUUUCUUUUUUCUUGAUCCUUAUUCUUUCCUUUGUUUACCUCUAUCUUAGAUCGUUUUUCUUUUUCCUAAAGAUCCUAUUUGAGGUCUUUUGUAUCUGUCUAAAAAUAUCUUCAUUUCAACUUAUUUUUUUUGAAGCACAUUAUUUUUGGUUUGUUAUAGUAAAAUAAUUGUUAGGAGUUUUUUUAUUGCUCUGUAAAGCAUUUUUACAAUUGACAUUGGGCUUUCUUCUCUCUCUCCUCUCUCUGUCUCUCUCUGUGUGUGUGUAUGUGUGUGUUUGAAUUUGCUAUUAGUAUUAUAGAUAGCACUUUAUAAGCAGUGCUCCUUUUUUCUUUGGUUGAUUUUUAAAGAUUUUGUAUUUGUUUUUGACAAUCAAGAUUUUUACAUAAUUUGUCUAAAUUUUUUGGGUUUUUUUUUUGCUCUGUUUUAUUUUGCCCCAUAUUUAUAUCACUUUUUGAAUCUGUGGCAUGUUUUAAGUCAGUUUUGGAAAACAUGCAUAUCUCUUCAAGUUUUCUGUUCUCCUUCCUAUUUCUUCUCCUCCUUCAAAAAUGAGGGUACUUUAAUUUUUUUUUAACUUUAUCUCAUGUUCUCUUUGGUGGUUUCUUGUAUUUUCUGUUUGGAUUAUUUACAUAACAGCUUUGUGAAGUUUACAAGUUGCCAAAUAACUUGAAAGAAAUAUCAGUACAGGUUGGCUGUUUGAGCUUGACUUAGGUUCUUCAGAGUGGUUAUGACAAUCCAGAAGCUUGAGAAUCAUUGUCAUACAUAUUUUGAAUUUCUAAUUUAAACAUCAGACGGCAAUGUAACCACUGUAUAAGUAAGAACUUGGUCUAGAUGCAUCAGUGGUGUCAUAUAUUUGCAGCUGCCUUCUUGAAUCACAGGGUCUUCACUCAAGGUGUAAAAUAACCCAUCCAAUUUAAACUCCUAUAACGAGUAUUUGAUCAUAUUUACAUCAAGCUGCAGGAAGAUUUUACCCUGAGUGACAGUGUAUUCAGCUAAAAAUUUCUGGAGACUGGGAAGACCAAGAUCCAGACACCAGCAGAUUUGGUGUCUGGUCGGUGCUCUCUGUUUUAAAGAUGAUGCCUUAUUGCUGCAUCCUCACAUGGUGAAAGAGGACAAGGGUUCCGGGCAAGGUGGCCGAAUACGAAUAGCUCUCGUCUGCAGCUCUCAGUGAGACCAAUAGAGAAGUGAUUUCUGCAUUUCCAACUGAGGUACCCGGCUCACUACACUGGGACUGGUUAGACAAUGGGGACAGCCCACAGAGGGUGAGCUGAAGGAAGGUGGGACAUCGCCUCACCC
Molecule: long non-coding RNA, 1533 nt
Filed under: Homo sapiens (human)
Lineage: Eukaryota; Metazoa; Chordata; Mammalia; Primates; Hominidae
Description: HSALNT0011825
Source: RNAcentral